Molecule: non-coding RNA, 114 nt
Organism: Python bivittatus (Burmese python)
Lineage: Eukaryota; Metazoa; Chordata; Lepidosauria; Squamata; Pythonidae
Source: RefSeq, a predicted model, not a curated record
GAACUCUGAUUUCUCUUCAGAUCACAUAGACCUUUAGCCUUUUACCAAAGAUUUCUGUGGGGAGGAAGCCAUACACUGAAUAAGGAUUCAGUAAAUGUCCUCAUAGUUUAUGCA